AUUGAUGAGUUAUUAUACCCAAUCACUGGGUUUAUCAUAACAUUUGAAAUCAGAGCCAGCCAACGGACUUUUUCCUGGAAGUCAACUGAACUGAGGAAACCUUCAACAACAAGGAAAGGUUAACCAGAGAUCGCACUGGCGUCCGGAUCCUUUGUAAGCUGAUCACGUUAUGUCCGUCUGUGCUAAGACUGGAAGUGACUGAAAGACAACACAGAUGCAUUCUUUCAGCAAGCACUUGUCCUGGAGGUUUUGUAGACAGAACUGGAAGUGACUGAAAGGAAACGGAGACUUAUUCUUUCAGCAAGGU
This is a long non-coding RNA of Engraulis encrasicolus (European anchovy), 307 nucleotides long. RefSeq lists it as uncharacterized. The transcript is spliced from 5 exons. Lineage: Eukaryota; Metazoa; Chordata; Actinopteri; Clupeiformes; Engraulidae. The record is from RefSeq and is a predicted model, not a curated record.